CUUAAAUAUGACUUGCAGUCUAUAGAUUCGAUAUAUAUUUCUGGAAAACCGGCUGAAAGAUUAGGGGUUAUCAUCUCGCAAGAUCUUACCUGGAACAGACACGUGGUUUAUAUUGUCAAAAAAGCCAAUUCCCGUCUUUAUGCCUUUGAGACAAUUAAAAAAAGCUGGUUUAGCUCAACAUGAUCUUCUUAAAAUUUAUUGCUCUUUGGUUAGGUCUUAACCCAAAAUUUAACAAAUUUAAUCGAGUCUGUUUAAAACCGAGCGUUACGGGUUAUCUGUCCUUCUCUUGCUUAACUCGUCAAAACGCGGUGAUGUUUGUUGAGAAAAUUAAGUCUGCCGAUCAACUAAAUGACCCUGUUGCGUACAUUCUGAGGUAUAAUGGACGUGAACAUAGUUAUAACUUAGAUUUGAGGGAACGUUUUUCACAGUUCAUUACACAUACCGCACAUAUUAUUGAUGUUCCUUAGUCACUGUACUAUUGUAGGUUUUAUUUCGUAUUUUAUUUAAUAUUGUUCAAUAGAUAACUUCAUAUUUGUAAAUUUCUCAAAGGUCAUUGUCAUAGCUAGUUUGAGCAUGUAAUUCAGUUCUGUAACUGCAAAGCGUUUUAUUAAACCAU
This is a non-coding RNA of Paramuricea clavata, 616 nucleotides long. Lineage: Eukaryota; Metazoa; Cnidaria; Anthozoa; Malacalcyonacea; Plexauridae. The record is from the annotation of a GenBank genome assembly.